Molecule: ribosomal RNA, 500 nt
Filed under: uncultured bacterium
Lineage: Bacteria
Description: partial 16S ribosomal RNA
Rfam family: Bacterial small subunit ribosomal RNA
Source: RNAcentral
AUUGAACGCUGGCGGCAUGCCUUACACAUGCAAGUCGAACGGCAGCACGGGAGCAAUCCUGGUGGCGAGUGGCGAACGGGUGAGUAAUAUAUCGGAACGUGCCCAGUAGUGGGGGAUAGCCCGGCGAAAGCCGGAUUAAUACCGCAUACGACCUGAGGGUGAAAGCGGGGGAUCGCAAGACCUCGCGCUAUUGGAGCGGCCGAUAUCAGAUUAGCUUGUUGGUGGGGUAAAAGCCUACCAAGGCGACGAUCUGUAGCUGGUCUGAGAGGACGACCAGGACCACUGGGACUGAGACACGGCCCAGACUCCUACGGGAGGCAGCAGUGGGGAAUUUUGGACAGUGGGCGCAAGCCUGAUCCAGCCAUGCCGCGUGCGGGAAGAAGGCCUUCGGGUUGUAAACCGCUUUUGUCAGGGAAGAAACGGCUCUUGAUAAUACCGAGAGCUAAUGACGGUACCUGAAGAAUAAGCACCGGCUAACUACGUGCCAGCAGCCGCCGUAA